This is a long non-coding RNA of Equus caballus (horse), 2238 nucleotides long. Lineage: Eukaryota; Metazoa; Chordata; Mammalia; Perissodactyla; Equidae. The record is from Ensembl.
CGUGGUUCACCCAUGGCCCAGGCAUGAUUUACGAGUGGCUAACUUGUGGUUCAUGUGCGCUUCACAACUUGAACAUGUGUGCUUCCCAUGGGCUUCAGAUGUGGUUCAAGGGUGCCUCACACGUGGAUCCGGCACGGUUCAGUUGUGGCUCACACACGGUUCAGAUGUAAUUCAGGCAUGGCUCACACAUGACUUGUGAGCGUCACAAAUGCUACAGGAGACUUUCACACAUGAUUUAGGCAUGGCUCACACAUGGUUGAGGUGCAGCUCAGCCAAGGGUCACAUGUGAUGCAGGCACGAAACAGAACUGGGUCCCAUGUGGCUGAUGCACGAUUCCGGCGUUUGUCACGCAUGGCUCCCACACGGCUGAGGUGUGGCUCAUGCAUGGCUGCGGUGCUGUCAGGCGUGGCUCACACUUGUCUGUGGCAUUGUUGGAACGUGGUUCAGGCAUGGCCGGAAGGUGGCUCCAGCGUGGCUGACACGUGCUUCAAAUGAGGCUGUCAUGUGGUGAAAUUGGGACUGGCACGUUCUUCAGUCGUGGCUGGCAUGUGACUUUGACAUGGCUGUGAUGAGGGUCAGUCUUCGCUCUCACAUUUUUCAGGCACGGCUGACACAUCACUCAGGCAUUCACCGCACAUUAUCUGAGCCUGGCAGACAUGUGUUUCAUGCAUCUGUUACAUGUCGUUCCUGUGUGGCACACAUGUGACUCACUCGCUGUUCACAACUGGCUCCCACCUACUCGGGCAUGGCUGCCACUUGGCUCAUGCAUGGCCCAGCCAUGUUUCACAAGUGGCUCCCUUGUCGUUCACGUGUGGUUCAAACCUGGAAAGUGUGUGCUUCACACGUGUUCCACAAGUGGUUCAAGUGUGCCUCAUGUGGUUCAGUCAUGGUCCAGUUGUGGCUCCCAAAUGGUUCAGGUGUAACUCAGGUGUGGCUCACACAUGGCUCAUGUGUGUGUCCCCUAUGGUGGAGGAGGGUUUGAGCCGUGAUUCAGGCGUGGCUCACACGUGGUGCAGGCAUGGCUCAGCCAUGGCUCACAUGGAGUUCAGGUGAGCCUCAGACCAGUGCCAGGUGUGGCUGACACAUGAUUCAGGGGUUUGUCCCACAUAGCUCACACACGUCUCAGGGGAGGCUCACGCAUGACUGGGGCGUGGCUCUGGCAUGGUUGGCACUUGGCUCAGGCAUGUCUGACAUGAGACUCAGACGUUGCUGACAUGUGUUUCAGGAAUGGGAUUCAAGUGUGUUGGACACGGGUUCCAGUGGUAUGUGAUGCUUCAUUGAGGCCGCAGUGACACGUGCUUGCUGUGUGGCUGCCACUUGGUGUGUCGCAGUGGACACAUGGCUCCGGCGUACCUGACAUGAGAUUCAGAUGUGGGUGACGUGAUUCAGGGGUGGCUUACACUUUUCUGCUGCGGGGCUGAUGCAUGACGCAGGCAUGGCUCACACGAGACUCAGGAAUUCAUCAUACUUUAUCCAUGCGUGGCAGGCAUGUGGUAACACGUGGGACAUGUCGUACAGGUGUGGCUCCCACGUUGCUGACACGUGGGCCCGACAUACUCAGUCAAGGGUGGCACGUGGCUCAUGCAUGCCUCAGCUGUGUUUCACGUGUGGCUCACCUGAUGUUCAUGUGUGGUUCAAGCAUUGAACAUGGGUGCUUCACAUGUGUUCCAGAUGUGGUUCAAUGGUGUCUCACAUGUGCUUCACGCACGGUUCAGUUGUGGCUCACACAUGGUUCUGAUGUAAUUCAGGCAUGGCUUACACAUGACUUGUGAGGGUCACAAAUGCUACAGGAGACUUUCACACUGAUUUAGGCAUGGAUCACACAUGGUUCAGGUGCAGCUCAUCCAAGGCUCACACGUGAUGCAGGAACGCCAAAGAACUGAGUCAAAUGUGGCUAACGCAUGCUUCUGGCGUUUGUCACGCAGGGCUCACACACUGCUGAGGUGUGUCUCAUGCAUGGCUGUGGUGUUGCUCAGGCGUGGCUCACAUGUGUUUGUGGCAUGGGUGGCACAUGGUUCAUGCAUGGCAGGGAAGUUGUGCCAGUGUGGCUGACACGUGCUUCAAGUGAGGCUGUCAUGUGGUUCAAGUGUGACUGGCACUUCGUUCAGGCCCAGCUGGCACGUGACUUGGCAUGGCUGAGCCUUGAGACAGGUGUGGUUCACACGUUGUUAGGGUGUGGCUGACACAUGACUCAGGUGAAGUAGAAACGAGACACAGGGGCGGCUAACACGUCACGCA